AACGAACGCUGGCGGCAUGCCUAACACAUGCAAGUCGAACGAGACCUUCGGGUCUAGUGGCGCACGGGUGCGUAACGCGUGGGAACCUUCCUUUAGGUUCGGAAUAACUCAGAGACAUUUGAGCUAAUACCGGAUGAUGUCUUCGGACCAAAGAUUUAUCGCCUUUAGAUGGGCCCGCGUUGGAUUCGCUAGUUGGUGGGGUAAAGGCCUACCAAGGCGACGAUCCAUAGCUGGUCUGAGAGGAUGAUCAGCCACACUGGGACUGAGACACGGCCCAGACUCCUACGGGAGGCAGCAGUGGGGAAUAUUGGACAAUGGGCGAAAGCCUGAUCCAGCAAUGCCGCGUGAGUGAUGAAGGCCUUAGGGUUGUAAAGCUCUUUUAACCGAGAUGAUAAUGACAGUAUCGGGAGAAUAAGCUCCGGCUAACUCCGUG
This 433-nucleotide ribosomal RNA is filed under the name uncultured bacterium. RNAcentral's name for it is "partial 16S ribosomal RNA". It matches the Rfam family "Bacterial small subunit ribosomal RNA", at positions 29 to 507 of the family's 1533-position model. The record is from RNAcentral.